GCCAGGUGUGGUGGCUCAUACCUGUAAUCCCAGCACCUUGGGAGGCUGAGGUAGACGUAUCACCUGAUGUCAGGAGUUCAAGACCAACCUGGUCAACAUGGUGAAACGCCAUCUCUACUAAAAAAUAUAAAAAUUAUGCCAGGCAUGAUGGCUUGUGCCUAUAAUCCCAGCACUUUGGGAGGCUGAGGCUGGUUGAUCACCCUAGGUCAGAAGUUUGAGACCAGCUUGGCAACACAUGGUGAAACCCUGUCUCUAACUAAAAUUACAAAAAAAUUAGCUGGGCAUGGUGGUGCAUGCCUGUAAUUCCAGCUAGUUGGGAGGCUGGGACAGGAGAAUCACAUAAACCUGGGAGGCAGAGGUUGUAGUGAGCUGAGAUCGUGCCACUGCACUCUAGCCUGAGCAACAGAGUAAGACUCUGUCUCAAAAAAAAAAAAAAGUACAAAAAUUAGCCAAGCGUGGUGGUGGGCACCUGUAAUCCCAGCUACGUGAGAGUCUGAGCCAGAGAGAAUCGCUUGAACCUGGGAGUCAGAGGUUGCAGUGAGCCGAGAUGACACCACUACACUCCAGUCUGGGCAACAGAGCAAGACUCAAUCUCAAAAAAAAAAGUAAAAAAAUAAGGCCGGGCAUGGUGGCUCACGCCUGUAAUCCCAGCACGUUGGGGAGGCUGAGACAGGUGGAUCACCUGAGGUCGAGAGUUCGAGACCAGCCUGGCCAACAUGGUGAAACCCCAUCUUUAAAAAAAUAAAAAUAAAAAAGUAAAUACAUAAAAUUCCUUCUCAGCGUAACUUCUAUUUCAAAACCCCCAGAUUUGGAUGGAGGAGUCUGGCCCUAAGGUUGUGAUCAGCCUCACGUUCCUGCCUAACCACCAGCCCUACAGGUUAGGGGGACAGGAGUGAGAAGAAGUCUAGCUAGUGGCUCUUGAGCCUGACUCUCGUGGGACAGAGGGUGAUGGCACAGAGUGGACCAGGCCAGGGUCUCACUGUGUCGCCCAGGCUGGAGUGUAUGGUGCAAUCCCAGCUCACUGCAGCCUCGACCUCCCAGGCUCAAGAGAUCCCCCAGCAUCAGCCUGAUGAUCAGGUGGGACCACAGGCGCGUGCCACCACCAUGCCCAACUACUUCCCAGUUCAACUGUGGAUAAAACUGGUAUGUGGGGGCAAUGAGAGAGACGGGUGAAAAAUGAGAAACAAGGGAUAGGGCUGACCUCUUUUGUGUAGAAAGAAAAAAAACAGUUUCCUCAGAAAACGUUAAGUUGCCUCUCAGCCGCCUGGUAUCAGGAAGCACUGAGGCUCCCCAACGCUAACUCCUCUCAGAGCAGCUCUGGGCAGGCCACCUGAUCCUAUCCGGAGCGGGCGGGUAGGCCGCGAGACCACGUGGCCCAGAGCGCCCUUCCCUGCUGCCGGCAGGGGCGGGUCCGGGAGCGCCUGCCGCGCUGGGCGGGACGUGGGCUCCCAGGCCCGGCGGAGAGCCGCCGCCGCCGCCCUCUUGUUUUUUUCUUGAGACCUGGUCUGGCUCUGUGGCUCAGGCUGGAGUGCAAGUGGCGUGAUCACCGCUCACUGCAGCCUUAGCCUCCUCUAACCUUAGCCGCUCCGGUACCUGGGACCACGAGCUGGCGCCAUCACCUCCGGCUACGUUUUUUGUAUUUUUAGCAGAGACUGGGAUCCUGCCAUGUUGGCUAGGCUGCUCUCGAACUUCUGAGAUCAAGCGAUCCGCCCGCCUCGGCCUCCC
Molecule: long non-coding RNA, 1725 nt
Filed under: Callithrix jacchus (white-tufted-ear marmoset)
Lineage: Eukaryota; Metazoa; Chordata; Mammalia; Primates; Cebidae
Description: lncRNA (ENSCJAG00000082533.1)
Source: RNAcentral